UACGAAGGGGGCUAGCGUUGUCCGGAAUUAUUGGGCGUAAAGAGCUCGUAGGCGGUCUGUUGCGUCGGCUGUGAAAACCCGGGGCUCAACUCCGGGCCUGCAGCCGAUACGGGCAGACUAGAGGUCGGCAGGGGAGACUGGAAUUCCUGGUGUAGCGGUGAAAUGCGCAGAUAUCAGGAGGAACACCGGUGGCGAAGGCGGGACGCUGGGCCGAUACUGACGCUGAGGAGCGAAAGCGUGGGGAGCAAACAGG
This 253-nucleotide ribosomal RNA is filed under the name uncultured bacterium. RNAcentral's name for it is "partial 16S ribosomal RNA". It matches the Rfam family "Bacterial small subunit ribosomal RNA", at positions 524 to 776 of the family's 1533-position model. The record is from RNAcentral.